Molecule: ribosomal RNA, 394 nt
Filed under: uncultured bacterium
Lineage: Bacteria
Description: partial 16S ribosomal RNA
Rfam family: Bacterial small subunit ribosomal RNA
Source: RNAcentral
AUACGUAGGGAGCGAGCGUUGUCCGGAAUUACUGGGCGUAAAGGGCGCGUAGGCGGCGCUUCAAGUCGUCUGUCAAAUGGGAGGGCUUAACCCUUUUUCGCAGACGAAAAUGGAGAGCUUGAGAAGCAGAGAGGCAAACAGAAUUCCUGGUGUAGCGGUGAACUGCGUAGAUAUCAGGAAGAAUACCAGUGGCGAAGGCGGUUUGCUGGCUGCAUACUGACGCUGAAGCGCGAAAGCCAGGGGAGCAAACGGGAUUAGAUACCCCGGUAGUCCUGGCAGUAAACGAUGUAUGCUGGGUGUGAGACUAGCGAUAGUUUCGUGCCGAAGUUAACGCGAUAAGCAUACCGCCUGGGGAGUACGGUCGCAAGAUUGAAACUUAAAGGAAUUGACGGGG